GCACUCUGCUCCAAAAAGGAUGACUUCCAUGGGCCAGGGCCACUCCAUGUUUCAUCGUGAUGUUCUUUCACUAAUUGAUUGCUUAUUAAUAUUUGUUCAUUGUUUUUUAUUAGAAACACUUAUUAUACCAGGAGAAGAACAAAACAACUGCAGAUGAAGCUCUUUGGAUUUGUUCCUGAGGUGAAACUCCUCAAACGCCAUUUCUCUGAAUCGGAGAUGUAGGAGUAACACAGUAGAAACCUCCCAGCAACAGAGGGAAACAGCAAAGCAUGCAGCAAACAAGGUUCAUAGCAACUUUGACAUUGAAUGAGGCACAGAUUACCAGUUUCUUUUACUGUUUUAAUUAACUCUAUUAGGAUAUCAUUUUUGCACAAGAAACAGCAUCCUUUUAAAGUAUACAAUUUCAUAAGUUUUGACAGUUAUAGUCAGUCACUAAAUGGCAGCAACAAUUAAAAGACACAUUUCCUUCAUCCCCAAAGUUCCUGUGCCCCUUAGUCCAUGCAUCCCUCCAACAUCCUCCUCAAGUGAAGGAUGAUCUGUUGUUGCCAUGAUGAAUAGUUCAAAUUUCUAGAAUUCAUAUAAGUGGUAUAAUACAUUGUAUAGACUUCUGGGCCUGGAUACUUUCUAUUAAUUAUUUUAAGUUUUAUCUAUGUUGUAGUGUGAGUCAGUAAUUUGUUUUAUUUUAUUGCUGAUUAGUAUUCAACUGUAUGGAUAUACUACAUUUUGUUUAUCCAUUUCAAAGUCAUUGGCAUCUGACUUAUUUCUAAUUUGGUGAUUUUAUGAAAAAUAGCUACAAAAAUGUGAACACAGGUUUAUGUAUGAACAUUUAUUUUUAUUUCCUUUGGUGACAAACCUAUGACUUGAAUGACUUGGUUAUGUAAUAAGUGUGUAUUUAAAUUUUUUAGAAACUGCCCAAAACUUUCCUAUUCACCAAAAGGUAUGAGAGCACCAGUUGCUCCACGUUUUCUUCACCACCACUUAGUAUGUCAGUAUUUUAUUUUAGCUACUACACAUAGUGGCAUUCCAAUGUGGAAUGAUGUGCAUCCUUUUUAGGUGCUUAUUGGUCAUUCAUACAUCUCUUCUAGUGAAGUGUUUGUCAGAAAAGAUUUUGUCCAUUUUUAUUAGGCUUUUUGCCUUACUAUUGAGUUAUAGAAGCUUGUCUUUUUAUUUUUUUCAUUCAGGACACAAAUUUAUGUAUACAUAUAUUUGUAGCUUUAUUUUUUAUUGUGUCCUGUAAGGAACAAAAGUCAUAAUUUGGAUAAAGUUUGACUUAUCUUUUUGUCUUUUGUAGAUUUUGCUUUUUGUGUCUUAUCAAAGUCUUCGUUUAACCCAAGUUCACAGGUAUUUAUUCCACUAGUUAUAUAAGCUUAGCAUUUACAUUUAAGCCUAUGAAGGUUUGAGAUGAAGUGAUAUAAGGUAAAUUUUUAGUUUCUUUAUGUGACUAUCCAGUUAUUCCAGCACAAUUGGUUGAAAAGACACUCCUUUUCUCAUUGAAAUGCUUUCACAGCUUAAUAGAAAAUAAACUGACCUUAUAUGUAUAGGUCUAUUUUUGGGAACUUUAUUCCAUUUUACUUAUGUAUAUGUGAAUCCUUCACCACACUGUUUUAAUGUAAAAAUGCUUUAUACUUAGAACUAAAACUAGAUCAUAUAAAUUCUUUAAGUUUGCUUUUUCACUUUAAUAUUUUACUGGUGGUUAUGGGCCAUUCACACUUCCACAUAUAUUUGAGAAUCAGCUUGUCAGUUUAAAACAUGAUGUAAUUUUGAUUGGAUUUGUUUUAUCUGUUGAUGAAUUUAGAAUAAAUCAACAUCUUUAAAAUUUUGCAUGUUUCAACUUAUGAAUAUUUUUCUCAAGUCACAUAGGCUUUUUAAUUUUUUUACAAGAAGUUUUGUAGUUUUCAGUGUACAGGUCUUGCACAUAUUUUUAUACAUUAUUUCUAGAUAUUUUAUUCCCAGAGAUGCUAUUAUAAAUGAAAUUGCAUUUUUAUUUCAAUUUGUAUGUUUUUGUUUGAGAUUUUUUUUCUAUUUGAUUUGUCUAAGGUAGUUGAUAUAGUUGAUUUUGUAUAUGGACCUUGUAACCUGGGACCUUGCUAAACUCACUUUUUAGUUCUACUAACUUUUUAACAGAUUUAUUAAAAUGUCCUUUUGAGAAGUGUCUGUUUAUAUCCUUCACCCAAUUUUUGAUGCGGUUGUUUUUUUCUUUUAAAUUUGUUCAAGUUCCUUGUGAAUUCUAGAUAUUAGACCUUUGUCACAUUGAUAGAUUACAAGAAUUUUUUCCCAUUCUGUAGGUUGCCUGUUCACUCUGAUGAUAGUUUCUUUUGCUGUGCAGAAGCUCUUUAGUUUAAUUAGAUCCCAUUUGUCAAUUUUGGCUUUUGUUGCAAUUGCUUUUGGCGUUUUUGUCAUGAAGUCUUUGCCCAUGCCUAUGUCCUGAAUGAUAUUACCUAAGUUUUCUUCUAGGGUUUUGAUGGUUUUGGGUUUUACAUUUAAGUCUUUAAUCCACCUUGAGUUAAUUUUUGUAUAAAGUGUAAGGAAGAGAUCCAGUUUCAGUUUUCUGCAUAUGGCUAGCCAGUUUUCCCAGCACCAUUUAUUGAAUAGGAGAUCCUUUCCCCAUUACUUGUUUUUGUCAAGUUUGUCGAAGAUCAGAUGGCUGUAGAUGUGUAAUUUCUGAGGUCUCCGUUCUGUUCCAUUGGUCUAUAUGUAUGCUUUGGUACCAAGCAGUACCAUGUUAUUUUGGUUGCCGUUGCCUUUUUGUUUUCUGGAAGUGUUUGUGAAGAAUUGGAGUUAAUUGUUCUUUAUUUGUUUGGUAGGAUUCACAAUAGAACCUCCUGGACCUGCACUUUGUGUGCCUGAGAAAUUUUUGUAGCUACUAAUUUAACAUCACUACAUGGUAUAAAUCUAGUCAGAUUUUAUACUUUUUUAGCUGAGUCAGUUUUGGUAGUUUUUAUGUUCCUAGAAAUUAGUCAAUUUCAUCUACGUUAUCAAAUUAGUUUAAUUCAAAUUUUUUUAGUGUUGAUUACAAUCCUUUUUUAAAAAAAAUUCCAUACAGUCAGUGGAAUGUCACCAUUUUCAUCUCUAUUUUAGUAAUAUGAAAGUUUCAUCUCUUUUUUGCCAAUAUAAAUGAAAGUUUAUCAUUUUUGUUUAUUUUUUAAAUAACAAAACUUGAUUUCAUUUUUCUAUUUUUAUUCAUUUAUUUUGUUUUUGUUCUAAUUUAAUUACAUUGUUG
RNAcentral lists this long non-coding RNA (3220 nucleotides) under Homo sapiens (human). Its description in RNAcentral is "HSALNT0346692". Lineage: Eukaryota; Metazoa; Chordata; Mammalia; Primates; Hominidae. The record is from RNAcentral.